Molecule: ribosomal RNA, 253 nt
Filed under: uncultured bacterium
Lineage: Bacteria
Description: partial 16S ribosomal RNA
Rfam family: Bacterial small subunit ribosomal RNA
Source: RNAcentral
GACAGAGGGUGCAAACGUUGUUCGGAAUUACUGGGCGUAAAGGGCGCGUAGGCGGCCUGCUAAGUCGAACGUGAAAUCCCCGGGCUCAACCCGGGAACUGCGUCCGAUACUGGCAGGCUUGAAUCCGGGAGAGGGAUGCAGAAUUCCAGGUGUAGCGGUGAAAUGCGUAGAUAUCUGGAGGAAUACCGGUGGCGAAGGCGGCAUCCUGGACCGACAUUGACGCUGAGGCGCGAAAGCCAGGGGAGCAAACAGG